CAGCCGCCACGGUAAUACGAAGGGUGCAAGCGUUAAUCGGAAUUACUGGGCGUAAAGCGUGCGUAGGCGGUUUGUUAAGUCUGCUGUGAAAUCCCCGGGCUCAACCUGGGAAUGGCAGUGGAUACUGGCAAGCUAGAGUGUGUCAGAGGAUGGUGGAAUUCCCGGUGUAGCGGUGAAAUGCGUAGAGAUCGGGAGGAACAUCAGUGGCGAAGGCGGCCAUCUGGGACAACACUGACGCUGAGGCACGAAAGCGUGGGGAGCAAACAGGAUUAGAGACCCCCGUAGUCCCUGUCUCUUAUAC
RNAcentral lists this ribosomal RNA (301 nucleotides) under uncultured bacterium. Its description in RNAcentral is "partial 16S ribosomal RNA". It matches the Rfam family "Bacterial small subunit ribosomal RNA", at positions 509 to 807 of the family's 1533-position model. The record is from RNAcentral.